UUUGCAGCAGUGGAUAUGUUUGUUGCUGGUCACCUAGUUAUUCCAUGGUUCCAUCCAUCUGCUGGCUUCAAUAUAUAAUUUGUGUUUGUAUAUGUUGUAUAUAUACAUGCAGUAUUGUAUAUUUGACCCAUGGCGGACGUUCUGAUUAGAUGACCAUCAACGAACACAUUCAUGAUGCAAG
This is a non-coding RNA of Malus domestica (apple), 181 nucleotides long. The record is from RefSeq and is marked provisional. NCBI's taxonomy places the organism in Eukaryota, Viridiplantae, Streptophyta, Magnoliopsida, Rosales, Rosaceae.